AAACUCACCAGGUCAGGACACGGUAAGGAUUGACGGACUGAAGGCUCUUUCUCGAUUCCGUGGAAAGUGGUGCAUGGCCGUUUUUGGUUGGUGGAUCGAUCCGUCUGGUUAAUUCCGUUAACGAACGAGACCUCGGCACUCCGAAUAGCGCGGCGGACGUCGCGGCCUCCGGGCCGUCUUCCGCACGAGCUUCUUAGAGGGACCGUCCCCCGCCGGGGAAGGAGGUGCGAGGCAACGACAGGUCUGUGAGCCCUUAGAUGUUCUGGGCCGCACGCGCAUUACACUGACGCGUCCAACGGGUGACUCCCGACCCGAAGGGGCCGGGGAAUCCGCAAGGCGCGUCGUGAUGGGGAUUGAACGUUGCAAUUGUUGUUCACGAACGAGGAAUUCCUAGUAGGCGCGGGUCAUCAACCCGCGCCGAUUACGUCCCUGCCCUUUGU
Molecule: ribosomal RNA, 440 nt
Filed under: uncultured eukaryote
Lineage: Eukaryota
Description: bacterial SSU rRNA
Rfam family: Eukaryotic small subunit ribosomal RNA
Source: RNAcentral